CCUACGGGAGGCAGCAGUGAGGAAUAUUGGUCAAUGGACGGAAGUCUGAACCAGCCAUGCCGCGUGAAGGAAGACGGCUCGAUGAGUGGUAAACUGCUUUUGUACAAGGGUAAACCGGAAUACGUGUAUUCAGCUGAAAGUACUGUACGAAUAAGGAUCGGCUAACUCCGUGCCAGCAGCCGCGGUAAUACGGAGGAACCAAGCGUUAUCCGGAUUUAUUGGGGUUAAAGGGGGCGUAGGCGGGUUGAUAAGUUAGAGGGGAAAUGUCCGGGCUCAACCCGGGAACUGCCGCUUAGACUGUUGAUCUAGAGUGUAGGUGCGGUAGGCGGAAUGUAUGGUGUAGCGGUGAAAUGCUU
RNAcentral lists this ribosomal RNA (356 nucleotides) under uncultured bacterium. RNAcentral describes it as "partial 16S ribosomal RNA". It matches the Rfam family "Bacterial small subunit ribosomal RNA", at positions 338 to 691 of the family's 1533-position model. The record is from RNAcentral.